UACGUAGGGGGCAAGCGUUAUCCGGAAUUAUUGGGCGUAAAGAGUGCGUAGGUGGUCUUGUAAGCGUGGGGUGAAAGGCAGUGGCUUAACCAUUGUAAGCCUUGCGAACUGUAAGACUUGAGUGCAGGAGAGGAAAGCGGAAUUCCUAGUGUAGCGGUGAAAUGCGUAGAUAUUAGGAGGAACACCAGUGGCGAAGGCGGCUUUCUGGACUGUAACUGACACUGAGGCACGAAAGCGUGGGGAGCAAACAGGAUUAGAUACCCUGGUAGUCCACGCCGUAAACGAUGAGCACUAGGUGUCGGGGCCGCAAGGCUUCGGUGCCGCAGUUAACGCAUUAAGUGCUCCGCCUGGGGAGUACGCACGCAAGUGUGAA
Molecule: ribosomal RNA, 373 nt
Filed under: uncultured bacterium
Lineage: Bacteria
Description: bacterial SSU rRNA
Rfam family: Bacterial small subunit ribosomal RNA
Source: RNAcentral